UAGGGAAUCUUCCACAAUGGACGAAAGUCUGAUGGAGCAACGCCGCGUGAGUGAAGAAGGUUUUCGGAUCGUAAAGCUCUGUUGUUGGUGAAGAAGGAUAGAGGCAGUAACUGGUCUUUAUUUGACGGUAAUCAACUAGAAAGUCACGGCUAACUACGUGCCAC
Molecule: ribosomal RNA, 164 nt
Filed under: uncultured bacterium
Lineage: Bacteria
Description: partial 16S rRNA
Rfam family: Bacterial small subunit ribosomal RNA
Source: RNAcentral